This 103-nucleotide transfer RNA is filed under the name Nemania diffusa. RNAcentral's name for it is "tRNA-Arg". It matches the Rfam family "tRNA". Rfam says of the family: Transfer RNA (tRNA) molecules are approximately 80 nucleotides in length. Their secondary structure includes four short double-helical elements and three loops (D, anti-codon, and T loops). Further hydrogen bonds mediate the characteristic L-shaped molecular structure. tRNAs have two regions of fundamental functional importance: the anti-codon, which is responsible for specific mRNA codon recognition, and the 3' end, to which the tRNAs corresponding amino acid is attached (by aminoacyl-tRNA synthetases). tRNAs cope with the degeneracy of the genetic code in two manners: having more than one tRNA (with a specific anti-codon) for a particular amino acid; and 'wobble' base-pairing, i.e. permitting non-standard base-pairing at the 3rd anti-codon position. Lineage: Eukaryota; Fungi; Ascomycota; Sordariomycetes; Xylariales; Xylariaceae. RNAcentral also lists the same sequence under 1 other name. The record is from RNAcentral.
GGCCUCGUGGCCCAAUGGCAAGGCGUCUGACUACGAGAGAGAUUCAGCAAUGACAUCUGUCACAGAAAUCAGGAGAUUCUGGGUUCGACCCCCAGCGAGGUCA